GCCUGGUGGCGGAAGGGCCGGACGGUCAGCUUUCGGGGCUGAUGAAUCUGGUGUUCCAUCCGUCGACCUGGAGC
This 74-nucleotide transfer RNA is filed under the name Serratia ficaria. RNAcentral describes it as "tRNA-Arg(tcg)". The record is from RNAcentral. Lineage: Bacteria; Pseudomonadati; Pseudomonadota; Gammaproteobacteria; Enterobacterales; Yersiniaceae.